UUUGCCUACGGGGCGCAGCAGACGGGAAUAUUGCGCAAUGGAGGAAACUCUGACGCAGUGACGCCGCGUAUAGGAAGAAGGUCUUCGGAUUGUAAACUAUCGUCCACAGGGAAGAUAAAAGACUGUACCUGUGAAGAAAGCUCCGGCUAACUACGUGCCAGCACCCGCGGUAAUACGUAGGGAGCAAGCGUUAUCCGGAAUUAUUGGGUGUAAAGCGUGCGUAGACGGGUUAACAAGUUAGUUGUGAAACCUCUCGG
Molecule: ribosomal RNA, 257 nt
Filed under: uncultured bacterium
Lineage: Bacteria
Description: partial 16S ribosomal RNA
Rfam family: Bacterial small subunit ribosomal RNA
Source: RNAcentral